RNAcentral lists this ribosomal RNA (226 nucleotides) under uncultured bacterium. RNAcentral's name for it is "partial 16S ribosomal RNA". It matches the Rfam family "Bacterial small subunit ribosomal RNA", at positions 538 to 763 of the family's 1533-position model. The record is from RNAcentral.
GCGUUGUCCGGAAUUAUUGGGCGUAAAGGGCUCGUAGGCGGUUUGUCGCGUCGGGAGUGAAAACCAUGGGCUUAACUCAUGGCUUGCUUCCGAUACGGGCAGACUAGAGGUAUGCAGGGGAGAACGGAAUUCCUGGUGUAGCGGUGAAAUGCGCAGAUAUCAGGAGGAACACCGGUGGCGAAGGCGGUUCUCUGGGCAUUACCUGACGCUGAGGAGCGAAAGUGUG